GAUGGAAGAGAAGAGGUAAAAGAGAUACGGUG
Molecule: small RNA, 32 nt
Filed under: Arabidopsis thaliana (thale cress)
Lineage: Eukaryota; Viridiplantae; Streptophyta; Magnoliopsida; Brassicales; Brassicaceae
Description: ATSL240570
Source: RNAcentral